GUGCUUGCUUUGGCAGAACAUAUACUAAAAUUGGAAUGAUACAGAGAAGAUUAGCAUGGCCCCUGCGCAAGCAUGACACUCAAAUUCGUGAAGCAUUCCAUAUUUUU
Molecule: small nuclear RNA, 107 nt
Filed under: Capra hircus (goat)
Lineage: Eukaryota; Metazoa; Chordata; Mammalia; Artiodactyla; Bovidae
Source: RNAcentral